GGUGUGCCUGUAAUCCCAACACAUGGGAGCAUGAAGCAAGAGGUGCUCUGAGUUGGAAGCCAGCCUGGGCUAUAAGAAUCCCACAGAACAUCAGCUGGCCAAUACAUUACAAAAGCAAGCUCUUUGUGUUCAGAAGAGGGAAGAAAGAGGAAGAAUACUUAUUCUCAAAAGACAUCACCAUAUUUGGAAUCUCCAUGGUAAAAAUCAGAAUUUCUGGCUUCUCUUGAAAAUGUUGGCAUUCUGACAACCCGUGGCCUACAUUCCUACAUGGCAGCAGCUGGCCAAAGCAAAGUAAUUUCCUUCUUUAG
Fukomys damarensis (Damara mole-rat) is the source of this 308-nucleotide long non-coding RNA. RefSeq lists it as uncharacterized. The record is from RefSeq and is a predicted model, not a curated record. The transcript is spliced from 3 exons. NCBI's taxonomy places the organism in Eukaryota, Metazoa, Chordata, Mammalia, Rodentia, Bathyergidae.